GCCCUCGUAGCUCAAAGGACAGAGUACUUGGCUUCGAACCAAGGGGUUGGGGGUUCGAGUCCCUCCGAGGGUA
Molecule: transfer RNA, 73 nt
Filed under: Chloroflexia bacterium
Lineage: Bacteria; Bacillati; Chloroflexota; Chloroflexia
Description: tRNA-Arg
Rfam family: tRNA
About the family: Transfer RNA (tRNA) molecules are approximately 80 nucleotides in length. Their secondary structure includes four short double-helical elements and three loops (D, anti-codon, and T loops).
Source: RNAcentral